GAAACCAACAGGGAUUGCCUCAGUAACGGCGAGUGAAGCGGCAACAGCUCAAAUUUGAAAUCUGGCUCUUUCAGGGUCCGAGUUGUAAUUUGUAGAGGAUGUUUCGGGUGCGGCGCCGGUCUAAGUCCCUUGGAACAGGGCGUCACAGAGGGUGAGAAUCCCGUACGUGACCGGCGACCAACCCCAAGUGAAACCCCUUCGACGAGUCGAGUUGUUUGGGAAUGCAGCUCAAAAUGGGUGGUAAAUUUCAUCUAAAGCUAAAUACCGGCCAGAGACCGAUAGCGCACAAGUAGAGUGAUCGAAAGAUGAAAAGCACUUUGGAAAGAGAGUCAAAAAGUACGUGAAAUUGUUGAAAGGGAAGCGCUUGCAACCAGACCUGUCCGUGGGCGAUCAACCUCUGUUCUCAGGGGUGCACUCGUCUGCGAUCAGGCCAGCAUCGGUUCGGGCGGUGGGAUAAAGGCCUUGGGAACGUAGCUUCCCCUCGGGGACGUGUUAUAGCCCUCGGUGCAAUGCCGCCAGCCCGGACCGAGGACCGCGCUUCGGCUAGGAUGCUGGCGUAAUGGUUGUAAGCGACC
RNAcentral lists this ribosomal RNA (575 nucleotides) under Austrolecia antarctica. Its description in RNAcentral is "LSU rRNA". It matches the Rfam family "Eukaryotic large subunit ribosomal RNA", at positions 61 to 649 of the family's 3401-position model. Lineage: Eukaryota; Fungi; Ascomycota; Lecanoromycetes; Lecanorales; Catillariaceae. The record is from RNAcentral.